AAGUGGAUCACCAAUAAUUCAACCAAGGACCAUUUCAACAAACAUUCCAGGCCAAUAAUUGAAUCAGGACCACUUGCUUUUUCAACCAAUACUUUCCCUGCCAACCAAGGGUGGAUCUAACUAUCGGCGGAAAAAAACAGCAAAGAAAAAGAAAAAAAGGGUUGAUCAUCCAUUAAAAGUAGAAAAAGAAUAAUUGCAUCUCAUCAGUGGAAGCUCAAGAUCUGCAUAGCAAGUGAGUAAUUCACUCCUUUGCCAUCAUCACCGGAGAGGCUUCGAAUAUAGUAGAAUUAAGAUCAUUGUUCGCAGGAGAUGAUCGAUUGAGGUGUGUAGUGAUUCUAGCGAACUAGUGAUGAAACUAGGGUUUGUGAUCAAGAACCACCAUGAUUUGCCGACACAAGCGCACCAGCCGAGUGUUUUGAUCGGUAGUCGAGUGAGGACGUCGAUGAACACAUUGCUUGUGUCUGCAAACCCUAGUUCAUCACCACACAACUCAAUCGAUCAUCUCUUGCCAACAACAACAACAACAACAACCCUAGUUCAUUUCGUGAUACAGUCACUUGUAAGGAGUUACAUGUUUUCUGUUAUUGCUACAUGUGAAUGUAAAAGCUCAACCUAGCAUUUAAGUAAAUACCUCUAUUUCAUCAUUGCCCUAAUUUCAGUAAUUUACACCAAAAGUAAAAAACCCAUCUGGUUCUAUGCAUGGAGAUUGCCUCUGUUACCGAAUCUAUUAGAGAGGGAAAUGUCGAUUAUGCAAACCGUAAUCAUGAGGUGCAUUUGGAGGUGGAAAUCUUAAACAAAUUGAUAUCAAUUGGCGUUAAACUGUUUUGUUUUUUUUGGGUUAAAGGGUAAGCUUGUAUUUAACAAGGAAGAAUAUACAUGGAGCUGGGGGAAAUACAACAAAAACCAAUGGCAACCAAUGGCAGCCAAAUACAGCAUAUACAAAAAGCAAACAAAUGCACACUACUGCAGUAAACCAGAAAACCAGUGGCUGCAAAGUACCAUGCAUGAUUUACAAUUGGAAUCAACCAUCAAGUGCUACUCAAACUUAGUACUAGGUGGACCAAACCUUAAGAUACUAGCCAAGAGGGAAUACAAGAUGUGGAACAAGCCUGCACAAACAUUGUAUGAAGGUCUUGUUCAGUUGUGAUUAGCCUCAGGUCCUCUUCUUUAGUUUGAUUGUUGCAAGCCUUGUUCUGAUGCAGGUUUUAAUUUGAGAGAUAAUAUGGUGAGGUGGAGUAGAGAUGUUCCUGAAAGCUCUUCCAUUUCUCUCUUGCCAUAUGAAGUAAAUGGCAGCUGAUAGAGUAGCUUGUGAGUUAUGAAUUCUGAUGCAGUCCAAUGUUUUGAACACCACUGAAUCAAGUCCUUCCAACAACUUGGCAAGAUGUAGAACCCUGCAAUCUCUUGUAUGAAUCUCCAAAUCUGUGAGCUGUAACUACAUUUGAAGAACAAGUGGUCCAUAGACUCAUUCUCAGCAAGACAUAAGUAGCAUCUAUUGACAUAAUGCUUGUGGAGCAUUGGUUUGGAGUCCAAGGUGAAAAGCCUACCCCUAACUGCUAACCAAGCUAUGCAGCUGUGUUUUGGUAGGUGGUUGGAGUUGAACCGUUGUUAAUUGACAAUGCUUACUUUUAUCUCACUAGCCAUCCCGAUCCGAUAAGGCAAGAAAGAAUAUUUUUUAGAAAAUGAUGUAUGGUUCAACAGGACAUUAAUUCAGGAUCUGCUGUAUUUCGUUUAGUUAUGGACUAUGUAUAGGUUAUAGGUUCAUUUCUUGAGAAACACUUUAUGAUAUACUCUAGGAAUGUUAUGUAUCAAAUUUCCUUCUUUUUGUGAAA
This is a long non-coding RNA of Cornus florida, 1829 nucleotides long. RefSeq lists it as uncharacterized. The record is from RefSeq and is a predicted model, not a curated record. The transcript has 2 exons. Lineage: Eukaryota; Viridiplantae; Streptophyta; Magnoliopsida; Cornales; Cornaceae.